This is a non-coding RNA of Sus scrofa (pig), 3167 nucleotides long. The record is from RefSeq and is a predicted model, not a curated record. NCBI's taxonomy places the organism in Eukaryota, Metazoa, Chordata, Mammalia, Artiodactyla, Suidae.
GGGUUAGUAGCCACAGAGGCACUCAGGGCCCGCCCGCCCGACAGGAAGGAAAGAGAAAUACGUCAGUGGUUCUAAGUCGAAGAAAAAUUGACUUCCCUCUCCUGGACCAGCUCCCGGGUCUCCUCGAUUGAAGCUGAGGCAAAGGUUCCAAACUGGCUGGGCUUCGAGCCAGCAUUACUGCUACCUGUAAACACUUGAAGGGGAAGGCUGGCUCCUCUAAGUCACUGAUACUCUUUUUGCUGCUCUUCAAAAGUUCCCUCUACAGAGCAGAGGUGACUUCUGCAAAGCAGAAGCCAUACAUCAUUUAUAACGAUCUCUGGCAAAACCUCAGAAAAAAGAUAUGCUUUUGACUUAGCCGGAUGUCCAAGGCUGUGGCAGGACCCAGCGAGGAGGCUCCGAAGGUGGCAUGAGCCACCAUUCCAGCCGAGUGACAGCCUCGCGGGACAGUCUUCGCCUGCGGAGUGUGACACAGUUAAAAAGGGGGAAAAAAAAAAAAAAAGCCACGAGCCACACGGUUGCCAAUGAAAUAGGAGAGGGAGUGUUUUCCAAAGCACGUGGGGCUCUUCCUGGGCUCCGGGCUCAUCCUCCGGACAGGAGUGCAAGGCCAUGAGCGAGACUUCAGCUCGGGUCUAGGAGGAGCCGGGACAUGGCCCACGAAGUCAACCUGCAUUCCCUGCAGGAAUCGGAACGCGAGACGAUCCUCCAGGUCCUGUACCGGGACCGGGAGAUUCAAAACGUGGAGGAGGAGCGGAUCCGGAAGCUGAAGACACACCUGCAGCAUCUCAGGUGGAGAGGCCGGAAGAAUGUGAGCCAGGAGUACAAAGAGAAGUCCUGUGCCCGCUGCCAGCGGGCCCUGGGGUUCCUGCUGAACCGGGGAGCCGUGUGCCAGGGCUGCAGCCACCGCGUGUGCGCCGAGUGCCGAGUGUUCCUGAGGAGCGCCCGAGCCUGGAAAUGCACCGUGUGCUUUGAGGACAGAAACGUGAAAAUAAAAACUGGAGAAUGGUUCUUUGAGGAACGAGCCAAGAAGUUUCCAGCCGGAGGCAAACACGAGACAGCUGGAGCAAAGCUCUUGCAAUCUUAUCAGAAACUGAGCAGCAAAAUUUCCGUGGUGCCUCCAACCCCGCCUCCUCUCAGUGAAAGCCAGUGCAGCGGCAGCCCCAGCAGGUUGCAGGAACUCGGUCAGUUUAAAGGAUUUAAUAAGUCCGUGGAAAAUCUGUUUCUGUCUGUUACCACCCACAUGAAAAAACUUUCCAAGUCCCAGAAUGACAUGAGCUCUGACAAGCAGCAGCCAGCCACGGGUCCCAGGCAGAGCGCAGGCCAGACGGAGCGGAGGAGCCAGUCGGACACAGCGAUCAACGUCGCCACCAGGGUCAGCACACCAGAUCUUCUGAAACCUCUCGCUCAGGAGAGUCCCAAACGCACCACCAGCCCUGUUUUGAAGCAAGAGGAUCGCUUGUCCAGUCCGGCGCCCACCCCCUUAUUCUCCGGAGGCUGGAGACACGGCAGUUUAAUUAGCAUCAACAGCACUUGUACAGAGAUGGGCAAUUUCGACAACACGCAUGUCACUGGAGAGAUAGAAUUUGCCAUUCGCUAUUGCUUCAGAGCUCACUCUUUAGAAAUCUGCAUCCAGGCCUGUAAGAAUCUUGCCUACGGGGAAGAAAAGAAGAAAAAGUGCAACCCGUACGUAAAGACCUACCUGCUGCCUGACAGGUCGUCCCAGGGGAAACGCAAGACCGGAGUCCAGAAGAACACGGUGGAGCCCACCUUCCAGGAGACCUUGAAGUACCAGGUGGAGCCUGCCCAGCUGGGGACCCGGCAGCUGCAGGUGUCUGUGUGGCACCUGGGCACCCUCGCCCGGAGGGCGUUUCUUGGAGAAGUGAUUGUUCCUCUGGCCACGUGGGACUUUGAAGACAGCGCGACACAGUCCUUCCGCUGGUACCCGCUCCGGGCCAAGGCGAGAAAUGCGAAGACAGCGUCCCUCCCAGCAAUGGAGAACUUGCCGUCCGUGCCAAACUGGUCCUCCCUACGGAGCCCAGAAAGCCCCCGGAGGCUCAGGGAGGGACGGGAGAUCAGCCAUCACAGAACGGUCAACUCUGCUUGGUCGUGCUGGGAGCCAAGAAUCUACCUGUGCGGCCGGAUGGCACCUUAAACUCAUUUGUUAAGGGCUGUCUCACUCUGCCAGACCAGCAAAGGUUGAGACUGAAGUCCCCUGUCCUGAAGAAGCAAGCCUGUCCCCAGUGGAAGCACUCCUUCGUUUUCAAAGGCGUGACCCCUUCUCAGCUGAGGCAGUCCAGCCUGGAACUGACCGUGUGGGACCAGGCCACCUUCGGCGUGAGCGACCGCCUGCUGGGAGGCGCCAGGCUUGGCUCCAAGGACGAGCCAGCUGCUGGUGCUGACGCAUGCCCACAAUCAAAGCUCCAAUGGCAGAAAGUUCUUUCCAGCCCCAAUCUGUGGACAGACCUGACCCUCACCCUGCACUGAGGCAGCAGGAGUUCCAGGUGCCGGCGCCUGAAGGUGGACUGAGGGCCGGGUGUGGACGGCCGGGAGGGGCCCCAGCCCCUCCACAGCAGGGCAGCCCUUCUUCAGAUCCCUCUGUAAGUUGAACAGAACAACCGUGAAUGUUGGUGUUAAGUCUCAGGCUGGUUAUCUGUCCUUUGGGAGAUGUGGAAAAUGACCAGAUUUCAAUAAAUGUUCACCCGUUUCCACGACCUCCCUGUGCUUGUCAAUGAAAAGCAUGGCCUUGCUGUUGCGUGUUUCAAAGAGAAAAGCAGACCCUGAGGGAGGGGUGGUCACUUCCUCCCAUUCUGUUUGGAAGAAAACCGUCUCUGGAGGAGGUCAGCCAACCCUGCGGGGUGUGGGGGACACCCGGCACGGCUGCUGGAAGGGGACAGAGCAGAACGUGCAACGCCAGGGAGUGUGCAGAGCCCGGGCGUGUGAGGAAUGGCUUUGCAAGGCCGAGCCCGGGAGCAGCGGGAGGUCAGAGCAGGUUCUGCCAGUGGGAGCACCGGCCAGCUGGGAGGGGCCGUCCCGGCUGGAGUCUGGGUUAGCGCAACAUCCCGCGUGUCCUUCUCAUAGACGCAGUUCUGGCAGAAAACUCCAAUGUGUAUGUAGCCAAUUAUAUGCACGACACUAACAGUCAAAAAAAAAAAAAGCCCUCCUCCCAGCUC